RNAcentral lists this unclassified non-coding RNA (183 nucleotides) under Glomeromycotina sp. Its description in RNAcentral is "partial contains small subunit ribosomal RNA, internal transcribed spacer 1, and 5.8S ribosomal RNA". The stretch from base 1 to 47 matches the Rfam family "Eukaryotic small subunit ribosomal RNA", at positions 1785 to 1831 of the family's 1831-position model. Lineage: Eukaryota; Fungi; Glomeromycota. The record is from RNAcentral.
AAAGUCGUAACAAGGUUUCCGUAGGUGAACCUGCGGAAGGAUCAUUACUGAUUUGGCGGACCGAGCGUCAGCGAGGUUCCGCGAUCACUUGUAUUUAAAACCCACACUUUGAAUGUAUAUGUAUAUUUUUGUAUUUUUAAUAAUAAAAAAAGAUCACUUUCAACAACGGAUCUCUUGGCUCUC